Molecule: non-coding RNA, 29 nt
Filed under: Rattus norvegicus (Norway rat)
Lineage: Eukaryota; Metazoa; Chordata; Mammalia; Rodentia; Muridae
Source: RNAcentral
UACUCCUUCACAAUGGAAGUAAGAAAGAU